RNAcentral lists this ribosomal RNA (496 nucleotides) under uncultured bacterium. RNAcentral describes it as "partial 16S ribosomal RNA". It matches the Rfam family "Bacterial small subunit ribosomal RNA", at positions 28 to 507 of the family's 1533-position model. The record is from RNAcentral.
GAUGAACGCUGGCGGCGUGCCUAAUACAUGCAAGUCGAGCGAACGGACGAGAAGCUUGCUUCUCUGAUGUUAGCGGCGGACGGGUGAGUAACACGUGGAUAACCUACCUAUAAGACUGGGAUAACUUCGGGAAACCGGAGCUAAUACCGGAUAAUAUUUUGAACCGCAUGGUUCAAAAGUGAAAGACGGUCUUGCUGUCACUAUAAGAGGAACCGCGCUGCAUUAGCUAGUUGGUAAGGUAACGGCUUACCAAGGCAACGAUGCAUAGCCGACCUGAGAGGGUGAUCGGCCACACUGGAACUGAGACACGGUCCAGACUCCUACGGGAGGCAGCAGUAGGGAAUCUUCCGCAAUGGGCGAAAGCCUGACGGAGCAACGCCGCGUGAGUGAUGAAGGUCUUCGGAUCGUAAAACUCUGUUAUUAGGGAAGAACAUAUGUGUAAGUAACUGUGCACAUCUUGACGGUACCUAAUCAGAAAGCCACGGCUAACUACGUG